UUCUUACACUAAUGAUACCUAUUCAUGGGAGACCACAACUAAUUGUAGUAAGUUUCACUGAUAAAUGUCUUUAAUUGAAAUUUACAUAACGGUGUUUACUAGUAACUAUUUCAUACACUC
Vicia villosa (hairy vetch) is the source of this 120-nucleotide small nucleolar RNA. NCBI's taxonomy places the organism in Eukaryota, Viridiplantae, Streptophyta, Magnoliopsida, Fabales, Fabaceae. The record is from RefSeq and is a predicted model, not a curated record.